AGGACGAACGCUGGCGGCGUGCUUAACACAUGCAAGUGGAGCGACGAACCAGGGCUUGCCCUGGGGCAGAGCCGCGAACGGGUGAGUAACACGUGGGUAACCUGCCCCGAUGAUUGGGACAACCCGAGGAAACUCGGGCUAAUACCGAAUGUGCCCUACGGCCUCAAGGCCGCUGGGGAAAGGAAGCUUCGGCCUCCGCAUCGGGAUGGGCCCGCGGCCCCAUUAGCUUGUUGGUGAGGUAACGGCUCACCAAGGCAACGAUGGGUAGCUGGUCUGAGAGGACGACCAGCCACACUGGGACUGAGACACGGCCCAGACACCUACGGGUGGCAGCAGUCGAGAAUUUUUGACAAUGGGGGAAACCCUGAUCGAGCGACGCCGCGUGGAGGAUGAAGGUCUUCGGGUUGUAAACUCCUGUCAUUUGGGAACAAGGCGUAUUUAUUAACUGUAAGUACGUUGAUAGUACCAGAAGAGGAAGGACGGCUAACUCUGUGCCAGCAGCCGC
RNAcentral lists this ribosomal RNA (505 nucleotides) under uncultured bacterium. RNAcentral's name for it is "SSU rRNA". It matches the Rfam family "Bacterial small subunit ribosomal RNA", at positions 26 to 518 of the family's 1533-position model. The record is from RNAcentral.